GCAAAACCUUACUGAUAAUAUCUACUAAUUAAUGACAACCAUUUCAGUGCAUCCAAUACAUCGCUUGAAGUUUCAGUUUUCAAAACAAAAAUGAUUGCUAUGAUUAACAAGUUUUAUGAGACCAAAUAUAAGAUGUAGUGACGGCCUUAAACAGGCCCCGGAUCACAUUGUCAUCCUUAUUGUUGAGCUCUGAAGUAGUUUGCCCUGCACAAGCCCCAUCAAACUGAUAUCACUCUGUACAUUCUCUCAUUGUUUCUUUAACUCAUCUCUGUAUGGUCACGAUGCUUCUGUAUUGAUGGAUUUCAGCUUCUGCGUAUAAAAUGCUGUUCCAAAGAAUGUGUAUGAAAUCCUCUCAUGUCCUUUGCAUUGGUCCAAAGCACUCAAUAAAAUAACUAACACCAUAUCGGGAAAUCUCAUUGGGAACAGACAGCUGAAAAGUGCCUCCCGGUGUCCAUCAGCUGCAUUUGAGAAAACAACUGUCUGUUUUAAAGAUUCUCUGUGGUCUAAGAUGGAUUCAGUCACGUACAGAGUUGAUUCACAGAGCAGGACAUUUAACACAUUAGCCAAGCUCCCCUCAGUACUAAAGCCUUCAAUAUAGUCAUCAAUCCAAACCACAACGCUCACACGCUGCACAUUCCCAGCAUGCAAUGGACUUCACCCAUGGUCUUGAAUAUAGUAAGUAACCAGUCACCACAUCCCCGUCCAACUGUUUAGAAAACCACCUUUACUACAGCGUUUAACUCAUCUUAAAACAUGCAAAGAAAGAGGGAAAAAAAGUGGAGGAAGACUGAAGGAAUGAAGCUACCUGCUAAAAUCCAGGUUUAUGUUGCACUCUUUUUUUCCUAAUAGUAUUGUGUGGACGAUGUAAAAGAUGUACGAAUGUGUUCAGAUGAUCUGAUUUGGAGCUUUAUGCUCAUUUGAAAGUGACUGCACUGAUUUGACAGAAGAGCUGCCUUUACACAAACUACAUUACUCAUUUAGAUUGUAUAUCUUGCAUUUAGAAAGAGGUAUAUAAUAUUAGGUAAAAUAGGGGGAAAUUUGCAUCCAGAAUCCACAAUAUCAGUAAAGGACUUGCCUAGUGCCACAUAUAUCUCACAUGACCGUGAGAAGCUUUAGACGGAUUGCUGUAAACCCAACACUGGCCGUCCUUUGAACAGCAUGCUGCUAACAUAAACCUGAGCAUUUAGACGUGUGGGUUAAGCUGAAGAACAGAAUUAUCAGAUAAAAUGUUUAAAAAUGGCACUGGAUAAGGCCUUUUAAGUAAUUCUACCCUUUAGCUGUUUCAGACGGUUCUGUAAUCUGUUGACCGGUCGCGAGGUCUCUCUCUAUCUCUCUCCUCCGUUUCAUUUCCCGCCUCUGCUCUUCUCUUCACAGUUCUUCAUUUUAGCUUGAGAGUUGUGAUUGUCUUUAUCGUAAUGUGUUUUAUUAAUUGGUUUACACUGAUACUCCUUGCUGUAAACGUGAAUUUGGAAAUAAAGUCCGUAUUAAACUGC
Sinocyclocheilus rhinocerous is the source of this 1493-nucleotide long non-coding RNA. RefSeq lists it as uncharacterized. Lineage: Eukaryota; Metazoa; Chordata; Actinopteri; Cypriniformes; Cyprinidae. The transcript is spliced from 2 exons. The record is from RefSeq and is a predicted model, not a curated record.